GGGCAGUUAGCUUAGUCUGGUCCAAAGCAGUCGACUCAUAAUCGAUUCACCGCUGGUUCGAAUCCAGCACUGCCCA
This 76-nucleotide transfer RNA is filed under the name Planctomycetota bacterium. Its description in RNAcentral is "Planctomycetes bacterium (drinking water metagenome) tRNA-Ile". It matches the Rfam family "tRNA". Rfam says of the family: Transfer RNA (tRNA) molecules are approximately 80 nucleotides in length. Their secondary structure includes four short double-helical elements and three loops (D, anti-codon, and T loops). The record is from RNAcentral. Lineage: Bacteria; Pseudomonadati; Planctomycetota.